This 109-nucleotide long non-coding RNA is filed under the name Pan troglodytes (chimpanzee). RNAcentral describes it as "lincRNA". Lineage: Eukaryota; Metazoa; Chordata; Mammalia; Primates; Hominidae. The record is from RNAcentral.
CCACCUUGGGAGCCCCGGGCUACUCUCUCACAGCCCUUGUUGCCCUGUGAUCUGUAGGUCUUGGGGACGCAUAGUUAAGGUGCCAGGACAUCCUGGAAGCUGGGAAAUG